AAAUGGGAGCCCACACACAGGGGGUCGUGUGGCUCCAUUAACCGAUUGCAACAUUGUAGCAAUCGGCAGCUAAUUGAUUUCCCGGGUGGCAAGCGACGGGAUCCAACCUUACAGCCGAAAAGCGGUGUUCGGGUAAUUGAAACUACCGAACAGGAAAGUGAAUGGCAAUUCAUAUGCAACAAAGAACCGAACACAGAGGUGAAUGAAGACAGAUUAUACUGC
Pelobates cultripes (western spadefoot toad) is the source of this 222-nucleotide non-coding RNA. The record is from the annotation of a GenBank genome assembly. NCBI's taxonomy places the organism in Eukaryota, Metazoa, Chordata, Amphibia, Anura, Pelobatidae.